GACGAACGCUGGCGGCGUGCUUAACACAUGCAAGUCGAGCGGUAAGGCCCUUUCGGGGGUACACGAGCGGCGAACGGGUGAGUAACACGUGGGUGACCUGCCCUCAGCUCUGGGAUAAGCCUGGGAAACCGGGUCUAAUACCGGAUAUGACUCCAUGACGCAUGUUGUGGGGUGGAAAGCCUUGUGCGGCUGAGGAUGGGCCCGCGGCCUAUCAGCUUGUUGGUGGGGUGAUGGCCUACCAAGGCGACGACGGGUAGCCGGCCUGAGAGGGCGACCGGCCACACUGGGACUGAAACACGGCCCAGACUCCUACGGGAGGCAGCAGUGGGGAAUCUUGCGCAAUGGGCGAAAGCCUGACGCAGCGACGCCGCGUGAGGGAUGACGGCCU
RNAcentral lists this ribosomal RNA (388 nucleotides) under uncultured bacterium. RNAcentral describes it as "bacterial SSU rRNA". It matches the Rfam family "Bacterial small subunit ribosomal RNA", at positions 28 to 417 of the family's 1533-position model. The record is from RNAcentral.